GCGGGCGUAGUUUAAUGGUAGAACAGGAGCUUCCCAAGCUUCUAGCGUGGGUUCGAUUCCCAUCGCCCGCU
RNAcentral lists this transfer RNA (71 nucleotides) under Sinimarinibacterium flocculans. RNAcentral's name for it is "gamma proteobacterium NH6-24 tRNA". It matches the Rfam family "tRNA". Rfam says of the family: Transfer RNA (tRNA) molecules are approximately 80 nucleotides in length. The record is from Rfam by way of RNAcentral. Lineage: Bacteria; Pseudomonadati; Pseudomonadota; Gammaproteobacteria; Nevskiales; Nevskiaceae.